GUGAAUCAUCAAAUUUUUGAACGCAAAUUGCACUCUCCUCGGAGAGUAUGCCUGUUUGAGGGUCAGCCUAAAAAAAAUUGACAUCGUUUCUGUUCCGCGGUUACGGUUGUUGGGAAUUUGGGUAUUUUAAACCUUUUUGUUUAAGCGACUUAAAAUUUUCCUUUUUAUUCCAUUAAAGUUUCUAAGAUUUAUUUCUUUACCCGUUUAAGGUAUUGAUUUUUAUUUGAAGUUGACAUCAU
This 239-nucleotide unclassified non-coding RNA is filed under the name Glomeraceae sp. RNAcentral's name for it is "partial contains 5.8S ribosomal RNA and internal transcribed spacer 2". The stretch from base 1 to 65 matches the Rfam family "5.8S ribosomal RNA", at positions 84 to 154 of the family's 154-position model. Lineage: Eukaryota; Fungi; Glomeromycota; Glomeromycetes; Glomerales; Glomeraceae. The record is from RNAcentral.